AACGAACGCUGGCGGCAUGCCUAACACAUGCAAGUCGAACGAUGCCUUCGGGCAUAGUGGCGCACGGGUGCGUAACGCGUGGGAAUCUGCCUUUCGGUUCGGAAUAACUCAGGGAAACUUGAGCUAAUACCGGAUAACGUUGCAAGACCAAAGAUUUAUCACCGAAAGAUGAGCCCGCGUAGGAUUAGCUAGUUGGUGAGGUAAAGGCUCACCAAGGCGACGAUCCUUAGCUGGUCUGAGAGGAUGAUCAGCCACACUGGGACUGAGACACGGCCCAGACUCCUACGGGAGGCAGCAGUGGGGAAUAUUGGACAAUGGGCGAAAGCCUGAUCCAGCAAUGCCGCGUGAGUGAUGAAGGCCUUAGGGUUGUAAAGCUCUUUUACCCGGGAAGAUAAUGACGGUACCGGGAGAAUAAGCCCCGGCUAACUCCGUG
RNAcentral lists this ribosomal RNA (433 nucleotides) under uncultured bacterium. RNAcentral's name for it is "partial 16S ribosomal RNA". It matches the Rfam family "Bacterial small subunit ribosomal RNA", at positions 29 to 507 of the family's 1533-position model. The record is from RNAcentral.